Molecule: non-coding RNA, 89 nt
Organism: Podospora conica
Lineage: Eukaryota; Fungi; Ascomycota; Sordariomycetes; Sordariales; Podosporaceae
Source: the annotation of a GenBank genome assembly
UCUUCCGUAGUAUAGUGGUCAGUAUGUGAGCUUGUCAUCCCUUUGGGGGUUAUUCGCUCGAGACCCGGGUUCAAUUCCCGGCGGGAGAG